AGAGUUUGAUCAUGGCUCAGGACGAACGCUGGCGGCGUGCUUAACACAUGCAAGUCGAACGGAGCUUACUUAGACGGAGUUUUCGGACAAAGACUAUAUAAGCUUAGUGGCGGACGGGUGAGUAACGCGUGAGGAACCUGCCUUUCAGAGGGGGAUAACGUUUGGAAACGAACGCUAAUACCGCAUGAUACAGUAUGGCGGCAUCGCCUAACUGUCAAAGGAGCAAUCCGCUGAAAGAUGGCCUCGCGUCCGAUUAGCCAGUUGGCGGGGUAAAGGCCCACCAAAGCGACGAUCGGUAGCCGGACUGAGAGGUUGAACGGCCACAUUGGGACUGAGACACGGCCCAGACUCCUACGGGAGGCAGCAGUGGGGGAUAUUGCACAAUGGGGGAAACCCUGAUGCAGCGAUGCCGCGUGGAGGAAGAGGGUUUUCGGAUUGUAAACUCCUGUCGUAAGGGAAGAGAAAGGACUGUACCUUACAAGAAAGCUCCGGCUAACUACGUACCAGCAGCCGCGGUAAUACGUAGGGAGCGAGCGUUGUCCGGAAUGACUGGGUGUAAAGGGAGCGUAGGCGGGAUGGCAAGUCAGAUGUGAAACCUGAGGGCUCAACCUUCAGACUGCAUUUGAAACUGCUGUUCUUGAGUGAAGUAGAGGUAAGCGGAAUUCCUGGUGUAGCGGUGAAAUGCGUAGAGAUCAGGAGGAACAUCGGUGGCGAAGGCGGCUUACUGGGCUUUUACUGACGCUGAGGCUCGAAAGCGUGGGGAGCAAACAGGAUUAGAUACCCUGGUAGUCCACGCUGUAAACGAUGAUUACCAGGUGUGGGGGGAUUGACCCCUUCCGUGCCGCAGUUAACACAAUAAGUAAUCCACCCGGGGAGUACGACCGCAAGGUUGAAACUCAAAGGAAUUGACGGGGGCCCGCACAAGCAGUGGAGUAUGUGGUUUAAUUCGAAGCAACGCGAAGAACCUUACCAGGUCUUGACAUCGAGUGACGUAUCCAGAGAUGGAUAUUUCCUUCGGGACACAAAGACAGGUGGUGCAUGGUUGUCGUCAGCUCGUGUCGUGAGAUGUUGGGUUAAGUCCCGCAACGAGCGCAACCCUUAUCAUUAGUUGCUACGCAAGAGCACUCUAAUGAGACUGCCGUUGACAAAACGGAGGAAGGUGGGGAUGACGUCAAAUCAUCAUGCCCCUUAUGACCUGGGCUACACACGUACUACAAUGGCGAUCGAACAGAGGGAAGCAAGACAGCGAUGUGGAGCCAAUCCCAAAAAAUCGCCCCAGUUCAGAUUGCAGGCUGCAACUCGCCUGCAUGAAGUCGGAAUUGCUAGUAAUCGCAGAUCAGCAUGCUGCGGUGAAUACGUUCCCGGGCCUUGUACACACCGCCCGUCACACCAUGGGAGUCGGUAACACCCAAAGCCGGUCGUCUAACCUUCGGGAGGACGCCGUCUAAGGUGGGAUUGAUGACUGGGGUGAAGUCGUAACAAGGUA
This 1486-nucleotide ribosomal RNA is filed under the name metagenome. RNAcentral describes it as "bacterial SSU rRNA". It matches the Rfam family "Bacterial small subunit ribosomal RNA". The record is from RNAcentral.